CCUACGGGUGGCAGCAGUGGGGAAUAUUGGGCAAUGGGAGGAAUCCUGACCCAGCGACGCCGCGUGAACGAAGACGGCCUUCGGGUUGUAAAGUUCUUUUAUGUGGGAAGAAGGAAGUGACGGUACCACAUGAAUAAGCCCCGGCUAACUACGUGCCAGCAGCCGCGGUAAUACGUAGGGGGCGAGCGUUGUCCGGAAUUACUGGGCGUAAAGGGCACGCAGGCUGUGCUUCAAGUCAGCUGUAAAAGGAUGCGGCUUAACCGUGUUAUGCAGUUGGGACUGAGGUGCUGGAGUACCGGAGAGGCAAGUGGAAUUCCCAGUGUAGCGGUGAAAUGCGUAGAUAUUGGGAAGAACAUCGGUGGCGAAGGCGACUUGCUGGACGGUAACUGACGCUGAGGUGCGAAAGCCAGGGUAGCGAACGGGAUUAGAUACCCUUGUAGUC
RNAcentral lists this ribosomal RNA (442 nucleotides) under uncultured bacterium. RNAcentral describes it as "bacterial SSU rRNA". It matches the Rfam family "Bacterial small subunit ribosomal RNA", at positions 338 to 795 of the family's 1533-position model. The record is from RNAcentral.